Ctenopharyngodon idella (grass carp) is the source of this 1415-nucleotide long non-coding RNA. RefSeq lists it as uncharacterized. The record is from RefSeq and is a predicted model, not a curated record. Lineage: Eukaryota; Metazoa; Chordata; Actinopteri; Cypriniformes; Xenocyprididae. The transcript has 3 exons.
GAUUUAAAUAGAGAGAGUCACUUUGCAUUGUCACACAUGCUUCAGUGCUCUGAGAGUGUUUAUAGUGCUGUGAGUUUAACACUUCAUGACUGAGAGCAGAACAGAACACAAUCUUCAUCAUCACACAAGACAAAAGAACAACAAUGAACAAAAUCACCUUCUUCAUCUGGACAUUGAUCUGUAUAUCAGGCUCCAGUGGACAGAUCACAGUUACUCAAACUCCUGUAGUUCAUACAGUCACACCAGGAGAAACUGUUGUGAUGAGAUGCAGCGCCAGCACUCCUUUAACAGGCUGUAGUCCUACACCCUGUCUGUCCUGGUACUUACAGAAACCUGGAGAAGCUCCUAAACUCCUGAUUUAUAGAGUGAACAGCCUCCAGUCAGGAACUCCAUCUAGAUUCAGUGGCAGUGGAUCCAGAACUGAUUUCACUCUGACCAUCAGUGGAGUCCAGACUGAAGAUACCGGAGAUUACUACUGUCAGAGUUACCACAGCAGUGGUGGUGUGUUCACACAGUGAUAAAGAGUGGUACAAAAACCUCGGUCAGUCAGACGUCACAGUGAUGCACUGAUACAGCUGAGAGAUACUGCAGCUGCUGAUGGAGGAUCACAAACAACACAAUGACCACACUCACCCUCAUUCAUUCAUACAAACACAACUGCUCACAGACGUGACCUGUUUUCUGAAUCCAGCGUAUCAUUAAUAGUUUUGUGGAUUGAACUCUUGGAGCUCUUACUCUCUAACCGAGUCAAGGACGAUCUCAGCAGUCCAGAGGCUUCAGACACUGACAGUGUUUCAUUAUAAACUGAUGAACAUGAACAAACCUCAUCUCUCCAUUAGUCCAACUCUUCUGACUCAUUUCAGAGAAUAAAGUGUGGACAGUGAAACUCAUAUUUGAUCAUCAGGUGAUUCUGUUCCUCUCAGAAUAGAGCAGCUCCAUCAGCAGAUGUUCAGCGUCCUCACAGGAGCUUCAUGUUACUGGAAUCCACUGCUUCUCUUGUUUCUGGAGAUACACUGGGAAAGUUCAAUAAGACCUUGUUAUUACUAAAAGGAACAAUAAAUAAAUAAACCCAUUUCACAUUUUAAAAAGUUUGAUGUUGAAGAAACAGUCGUGUAUGACUCAAAUAAUUACUGGAGAUCAGGUUAUAAAUGGAGAUGAAGCAGUCGCAGGUUUAGUGUUUGUUAACAGCGGGGUUUGUCGCCCACAUUACAGUAAGGAUGUGUUUGUUUCUGCUAGAUGCAGUUGUGUUUUACCCCAAUACAGAACAAUGAACUGUUUAUCUGUUUCAUAUCCUUUUCUUCCUUUUUCUUCUCUUGUCCCUUGUAAUACACACCAAAGUUCAGGAAAACCUGCAUGAUCCCAAAGCGACUGUGGAAAUUACUGAAGCACAUCUGAUAAAAACUUGCUGAGAUACA